AACGCACAUUGCGCCCUCUGGUAUUCCGGGGGGCAUGCCUGUUUGAGCGUCAUUACAACCCUCAAGCUCUGCUUGGUAUUGGGUGUCACCCUCUUGUGGUGCACUUCAAAAUCAGUGGCGGUGCCACCUGGCUCCUAGCGUAGUAAAACUUUCUCGCUAUUGAGUUUGGGUGGUUGCUUGCCAGCAACCCUUAUUUUUUAUAGGUUGACCUCGGAUCAGGUAGGGAUACCCGCUGAACUUAA
RNAcentral lists this unclassified non-coding RNA (242 nucleotides) under uncultured fungus. RNAcentral's name for it is "partial contains 5.8S ribosomal RNA, internal transcribed spacer 2, and large subunit ribosomal RNA". The stretch from base 1 to 52 matches the Rfam family "5.8S ribosomal RNA", at positions 103 to 154 of the family's 154-position model. Lineage: Eukaryota; Fungi. The record is from RNAcentral. RNAcentral also lists the same sequence under 1 other name.